GACGAACGCUGGCGGCAGGCCUAACACAUGCAAGUCGAGCGGACCUUUCGGGGUCAGCGGCGGACGGGUGAGUAACGCGUGGGAAUAUGCCCUUCUCUACGGAAUAGUCCUGGGAAACUGGGGGUAAUACCGUAUACGCCCUUUGGGGGAAAGAUUUAUCGGGGAAGGAUUAGCCCGCGUUGGAUUAGGUAGUUGGUGGGGUAAUGGCCUACCAAGCCGACGAUCCAUAGCUGGUUUGAGAGGAUGAUCAGCCACACUGGGACUGAGACACGGCCCAGACUCCUACGGGAGGCAGCAGUGGGGAAUCUUAGACAAUGGGGGCAACCCUGAUCUAGCCAUGCCGCGUGAGUGAUGAAGGCCUUAGGGUUGUAAAGCUAUUUCAGCUGGGAAGAUAAUGACGGUACCAGCAGAAGAAGCCCCGGCUAACUCCGUG
RNAcentral lists this ribosomal RNA (433 nucleotides) under uncultured bacterium. Its description in RNAcentral is "partial 16S ribosomal RNA". It matches the Rfam family "Bacterial small subunit ribosomal RNA", at positions 28 to 507 of the family's 1533-position model. The record is from RNAcentral.